CUAUGUUUAGCAAAUUAAACAUGGCGGAAGGAG
Molecule: non-coding RNA, 33 nt
Filed under: unclassified sequences
Description: L31-Firmicutes ribosomal protein leader
Rfam family: L31-Firmicutes ribosomal protein leader
Source: RNAcentral